Molecule: transfer RNA, 85 nt
Filed under: Felis catus (domestic cat)
Lineage: Eukaryota; Metazoa; Chordata; Mammalia; Carnivora; Felidae
Rfam family: tRNA
About the family: Transfer RNA (tRNA) molecules are approximately 80 nucleotides in length. Their secondary structure includes four short double-helical elements and three loops (D, anti-codon, and T loops).
Source: Rfam by way of RNAcentral
GCCUGGGUGGCUCAGUCAGUUAAGCGCCUGACUUCAGCUCAGGUCAUGAUGUCAUAGUCCGUGAGUUCGAGCCCCUCAUCAGGCU